GUGCUUGCUACAGCAGCACAUAUACUAAAAUUGGAAUGAUACAAAGAUUAGCAUAGUCCCCGUGUGAAGAUGACACAAAUUCAUGAAGCAUUACCUAUUUCA
Molecule: small nuclear RNA, 102 nt
Organism: Aotus nancymaae (Ma's night monkey)
Lineage: Eukaryota; Metazoa; Chordata; Mammalia; Primates; Aotidae
Source: Ensembl